Non-coding RNA from Mycena crocata, 88 nucleotides. The record is from the annotation of a GenBank genome assembly. Lineage: Eukaryota; Fungi; Basidiomycota; Agaricomycetes; Agaricales; Mycenaceae.
UCGGAUGUGGUGCAGGGCGCAUGUCCACUGACGCUGUGUAAAGGUCGCUGUUUAGUGGAGGGCCGGGGUUCGACUCCCUGCGUCCGAA